UGCGCCUGUGAGCCGCGCGCCUGUGUGCGCGUGACGGAGGAGUCAUGCGUCUGCAGCGACACCUGCGCCUUACGGUCUGCGCGGUGCGGUGGAGUUUCCCAGACAGCCGCGAGAUGGAGCAGCCUGCCCCUUCCUGAGCCGUUCCCGUCCCCCCACGCUGGCUUCGCGCGGUAGCUUUAUUGGCCGUGUCUCAGACGGCGCGAACAGCUGAUCGAUACUUUUGCCCAUCUCUGUCGCGGGCGGUACUUGUUCGUUGCGUACGAUAUAUGUGUUAUCUUUUUGUGUUGUGUUUCGCGGGAUGAGUUUAUACGGGGAUAUUUUUCUGUUAUUCCGCAUGUUAUUUGUUUUACGGAUGAGUAUGGCAUGCUCAUGUGUUAAUGUUUAUGUCCGCGUGUCUGCAGUACUUGCGGGUUCCCGUGACUGGCGGGCUCUAAGUCAGCCGCCAUACUCAGUCCUUUUCAUGGUGUACUCCGUCGAGAAUGGAGGCAUGGCGCCUGAGUGGACGAAAUCGUUGAAACCGCUAGAUGCAUCGUUGUUUACCGUGCCUACCUGCGCUAGUGCCAGUUUGAGUUGCCACGCUGCUUCAUAUGCUGCACCUACGCAUCAGUAUUCGCUAGUCGACCGCAUCGUGACGAAUACAAGCAACGCUCUGGCUACGGUGUUCUGCGCGUAACAACGCUCGUCAAUCUACGGCUCAGGCGACAAUAGUUUCAACGAUCGUCUUCAUCAUCGUCUUCCGGGGGCAUCAGCAUGUCUGCUUGCUGAUUCCGUCGCUACCGGCCGACGCAUGACCGCUGCAGACGCGAUUGCCUGCCGCCGUGGGGACUGGAUCCAGGAUGGAGGUUCCAGCAGCCUAAUGUCCCUGCGGUGGCGGAGGUUCGCGUCUGCUGGCUGGCACCUACUGGGUGGACGCCACUGCUACUGAUGGUGGGUGCUGCUGCUCCUGAUGGCAGGGAAAGAGGUCUGACCAGUGAUCUUUUCUGUUUGUUAAGACUUUUGAGGCAUGCAUGGAACAGGUGCAAUGAUGUGGUGUGUCUGAACCAUAUGAGGCUGACAUUCGUGUAGGUAUUCUCGGUGCUAGUUUGACAUGUGUUUAGCUUAAGGUUGAAGUGUUCAUUCAUAACUUAUCGUGCCAGCAACCCUAUCCUUCUGACCUGCCCAGCCUGACCCACAUGACCCCCUCACUUGACGUUGACCUCGCUUGACCUUGCUUGACCGUGUGUGUCAACGAUAACCAUGGACCUUGACAAGUUGACAAAGGAGGAGCUGGUCGGGGAGUUGACUAGGCGUGGAGAAGAUGUGCGGGGAAGAAAGCCAGUCUUGUUGGAGAGGUUGAGAGAGCUCUUGAAGGAAGAAGAGUUCCAGAGUCAGGGAGCUAGGAAGCAGGCCAAGGAAGAGACCGAUAAGCUGCAUGAAGAGUGUGAGCCGAAGAAAGCCGAUGAUGGGAAGAGUGUGAAGUCGGGAUCAUCAAGAUCUGGAGGUGGAAGUGCGGCAAGUUCCAAGCCUGCCUCCAGUGUCCGAACAUCGGUCAGCAUCGUCUCUGCCAGGGCUUUGGAGAGAGCGAGGCUGGCUGGGCUGUCUGCCAAGAAGGAAGCCCUGAAGAAGAGGCACCAGCUUGAAGAAGAAGAAGCUGCAUUGAGAAAGAAGAGAGAAGAGCUGGAGAUCCAGGCGGAGAUAGACGAGAGUGAAGCCAAGGAGAAGGUCCUGGAGGAGAUGCUGAAGGUGGAGCAUGCGACAAGAGCUGCAAGUAUGUGGUUGCAAGGGGCUGCUGCCGCCGACACAGUCCAGCCACAGGAAGCUGCGGUGACAAGAGCUCUGCAAGAUGCCGCAGCUCAGCAAGAUGCUACAUCUCCAGCGGCAUCUCCACAGGAAGUGACACCAGAAUCCGUUCUGCAAGACGAGCCAACACAGCAGCAAGUAGCUGGCGGGGCUCCGGCUCAACACAGCACUGACCUGCAGAUGGUAAGGCGUCUCCACCUGCCAUCACUUGACCUGACCACUUUCAGGGGUGACACUUCGAAGUUCAAGCCCUUCCUCAGGACCUUCGAGUCCAACAUAGCAAGAAAUGUGGACUGUGAUGCUGAGAGGCUCCUGUACCUGCUUAAGUUCACCAAGGGAAAGCCACACGACCUCGUUCAGACCUGCGUUCAUCUGCCUGAAGAGCAGGGCUAUGCCCAAGCUGUCAUGUUGCUCCGCCGCAGGUACGACUGUCAGGCUCAGACCGUAGCUAGUCUGGUGGACGAGAUGCUAGCCCUACCCACCCUUAGAGCGGAUGAUGGAGACGGACUGGAUGACUUUGGCAUCUUCCUCAGGGGCUGCAUGAACGCGCUCGAGAACCUGCCACACGGUGUGGGGUCUGUUGACUCGAAGACCAUCCGGAGACUGCUGGAGAAGCUCCCGUAUCACCUGACUGAGAGGUGGCGCCGGAAAGCUGAUGCCAUCGAACAGGAAGGGAGACGUCCAGCGAACUUCAGUGAUCUUGUCCAAUUCAUCGAGACUGAAGCAAGGAUUGCAACGAACCCCUCGUACGGACGACAUGUGCUGUGCCCAGGAACAAGAACCAAGAAAGAUGACACAAAGCUGAAGGUGCAGCCCUCAGGAAGGGUAAUCGCUGGAAGAACUCUAGCAGGAAGUGUCCAGCCCAUGGAGAAUGCACACCCAUCAUGUCUCUUUUGCCAGGGAAAACACCAGAUCGAAAACUGCAAGAAGUUCGAGUCCAGGACGCACGAGGAGAGGAGCAAGUUCGUGAAAGAGAAGGGCCUCUGCUUCGCCUGUCUUCAGCAUGGCCACCGCUCCAGGUUCUGUAAGGAAAGGAGGACCUGUGAGCGGUGCAACAGAAGCCACCCAACUGUGCUCCAUGAAGAUAGGAUAAGUCCAACACCAAGUGCUACAACAGGCCAUCUGGCGCCCAGCGGGGCGGGAGGGGCCAAGCUCCAGGUGCUGAAGGUGAUGGUGGGGCUAGACAAGGAGACUGUGGUAACUAACGCCUUUCUGGACAGCGGUAGCACACACUCGUUCAUCUCAAAGCACCUGUUGCAGAAGAUGAAGGUGACGCCGCAAAACAACUCAUCACUGAGGGUGUGCACGAUCAGGGGAGAGGCGGUGAUGGACAGCUGUCUCGUUCCUGGUCUGGUCAUCAGAAGCCUCGAUGGGGACAACUGCAUGGAGCUGCCGCCUCUGUAUGUCCUGGACCACAUCCCUGUGACGUCUGAAGACAUUCCAUCCGAAGAAGAUGUGAGUAAAUGGAAAUACCUGCAAGAUGCUGGAGUAUUUCUGGAGACACUAUCAGGUGACCAAGAGAUUGGCCUCCUGAUAGGAGGUAACGCGGCCAGUGUGAUGGAGCCUGUGGAAGUGUGUCCGAGCCGAGAUGAUGGUCCCUAUGCUGUGAGAACGAGGUAUGGUUGGGUGCUGAGUGGUGUCGGGAAGUUCACCAAGUCAGUCAGCAUCAACCGCAUCAAGAUCGUGGACGCACUGGGCCCAGAAGAGCUGUUCGAGGACCGAGCCGACACAAGAAGAGGUCUGUCGGUUGAAGAUGUAAGAUGGUGCACACAGAUGGAGACAGGCUGCAGACGAAGAGAAGGGAGAUACGAGAUCAAGCUGCCCUUCAGGGAGAGCAAGCCGCUUCUUGACAACAACCGUCAAGUUGCUCUCAAGAGGCUCAAUCUUCUGAAGAGGGCCUUUGAGAAGGACCCGAAGUACGCUGAAGAGUACAAGGCUGUGAUGGCAGACCUGCUGGAGAAGGGGUAUGCGGAAGAGGCCCCAGACAACGAUAAACCAGCAUGCAAGUGGUACAUCCCGCACUUCGGAGUUCGGCAUCCGCAGAAAGAGAAGGUUCGGGUUGUGUUUGACUGCGCGAGCAAGUUCAACGGCGUGUCUCUCAAUGACACUCUCUUGCAGGGACCUGACCUGACUAACCCACUGAUUGACGUGCUCAUCCGUUUCCGUGAACAGCCGUACGCCUUCACGGGGGACAUCGAGGCCAUGUUCAUGCAGGUGUUGGUCCCCGAACAUCAACGAGACUACCUGCGGUUCCUGUGGUGGCCACGAGGAGAUGUCACCUGCACGCCCAAGGAAUAUCGCAAUACAAGACAUCUCUUCGGUGCUACGUCUUCACCGAGCUGCGCCAACCUGGCGCUGCACAGGACAGCUGAGGAGUUCGGUCAGAAGAUGGAGGAGGCCAGAGACACCGUGAGACGGAACUUCUAUGUGGAUGACGUCCUGAAGUCUGUGGGAAGCGAAGGAGCCGCGGUCAAACUGGUCGGAGACCUCAAGGCGCUCUGCGCCGAGGGCGGCUUCAAGCUUACCAAGAUCAGCAGUAACAGUGUCGGAGUCCUGAGAUCUGUGCCCAGAGAAGAGAGGACAAAGAAAGUGAAAGAGCUCACGCCGGGGACAGACGCUCUUCCAGUGGAACGCGCCCUGGGAGUACUGUGGGACACUAACUCCGACAUGUUCAGCUUCCAGGUAGACGUCAGCAAGUUGACGAAGAAACCGAAGACGAAGAGGGGGAUGUUGUCGGCUACGGCGUCCUGCUACGACCCGCUGGGACUGGUGACUCCAUGCAUCGUGAGAGCGAGGAUCUUGCUCCAAGACCUGUUCCGGCUGAAAGUGGGCUGGGAUGAGGAAGUGCCCAAAGCUACGAGAGAAUCCUGGGAGCGAUGGCUGCGAGACCUGCCGCAGUUGUCUCACUGUUUCUUCCCCAGGUGCGUUACGGCGGGAAGACUGGACGGGACGGUGGAGCUGCACCACUUCGCGGACGCGAGCGAGAGAGCCUAUGGCGCCGUCUCCUAUCUGCGUACCGUGACGCCGGAAGGACGCGCUCACUGCGCUCUGCUCGCCAGCAAAGCUCGACUGGCCCCCGUGAAAGCGCUCACUAUCCCCCGACUCGAGUUGGCUGCUGCCAAGCUGGCGGUUGAGGCAGGACAAGAGCUGGUCCGCGCACUGGACACCCGAGUUGAACAGAACUACUGGACUGACAGUACGACAGUACUGAAGUACAUCCGCAACACCAGGACACGGUUUCAUGUAUUCGUUUCGAAUCGGCUCGCGGCUAUUCAUGACGGGUCGAGCGUCGAACAGUGGAGGUUUGUGCCCACAGGUCAGAACCCGGCGGAUCUGGUCUCCCGGGGAGUGGACGCCCAAACGCUGAUGGGCAGUAGCCUCUGGAGAGCCGGUCCUCAGUUCCUGAAGGGGCCGCCGGAGACGUGGCCGAGCGACCCAGAAGCUGGAGAAGGAGUCUCCGAGCACGAUCCGGAGGUGAAGACAUCUACAUGCCUGAGCAGCGUCGAGGGCAAUGCCGACGCCGUCAGGCCGAUGAAGAGGCUAGUCAACCACUACUCGACUUGGAGACGGCUGACCAGGGCGGUGGCAUGGAUCCGCCGUGUGUUGCGGAUGCUGAGGGACAAGAAACGUGGCGGCAUCAUGUCGUCGCCGGCCGAGCUCAGCGUACAGGAGAUUGCAGACGCUGAGAAACUCAUCAUCUUGUCGGAGCAGGAAGCGAGCUUCCCGCAGGAGAUGAAGGACCUGAGAGCGGGCAAGGAAGUACGUCUGUCGAGCCCGCUCGCCCGCCUGGAUCCCGGCCUCCAGGAUGGCGUGCUGAGAACUCGGGGUCGCCUGAGGAACUCCGCGCUGUGCCAGACUGCCAAGUGCCCAGCGAUCCUUCCGAAGAAGGGGCGCGUCAUUGAUAUGCUGAUCGAGGACUUUCAUUGCAGAGCCGGCCACGAAGGAAGACAGCACGUCAUGGCUGACAUCAGUAGGUCUUACUGGGUGCUGGGAGCUAACUCGGCCGUCAGGCGCGUGUUGAGCCGCUGCCUGAGCUGCCGCCGAAGGCAGAGACCGCCGGAGACUCAAAAGAUGGCCGACCUUCCGGAGGAUCGGGUUCGUGAAGGCGAGAAACCGUUCACCAGGACCGGUGUCGACUUUUUCGGCAACUUCUACGUCAAGAGGGGCAGGUCUCACGUCAAGAAGUAUGGCGUAAUCUUCACGUGCCUCGCAACGCGAGCGGUGCACAUAGAGGUGGCGGAAAGCUUGUCAACUGACUCGUUCCUGUGCGCACUGCGCAGGUUUGUCGCUCGCCGAGGCGACGUACGCACCUUGCGCUCUGACCGCGGUACAAACUUCACGGGCGCAGACCGAGAGCUCCGAAACGAAGUCGACAAGCUGCAGAACGACAACAACCGGAUCCAGAAAGUUGCCCUGGACAUGAAGAUCGACUGGAGGUUUAACCCGCCGCACGCAUCGCACUUCGGCGGAGCCUGGGAAAGGCAGAUUCGCACUAUCCGCAAGAUCCUGAACGCCAUCCUGACCGAACAAUCCAUGACAGACGAGACGCUUCACACACUCCUGUGUGAGGUCGAAUGUAUAAUUAACAACCGGCCUCUGACGCCGGUCAGUGCUGACCCCAGAGACGAGACUCCGCUCACACCUAACCACAUCCUGCACCUCAAGUGUGUAACGCUUCCCAGCAGCAGCGCUACUACAGACUGCGACCUAGUCGGUCGCCGCCAAUGGAGACGAGCCGCCUACUUGGCGGAGCAAUUCUGGCGCCGUUGGCGCAGGGAGUACCUGCCGUUGUUGCAGACGAGAGCAGGACGAUCUACAAGAAGCACGACGAACAUGAAGCCAGGGGACAUCGUGCUCAUGGUGGACGACGCCGUUCCUCGCGGAACUUGGCCGCUCGGACGCGUAGAGGCGGCGCCGGCGGCCGCGGACGGACGAGUUCGCACCGUGUGGGUCCGCGUCCGCGGCACGACUUAUGCGCGACCCAUCACCAAGGUGGUGAAGAUUAUCGGCGCUACCGAGGCCGAGUGAAGAAGGAAAGUUUAAGUUUGUUUUGACGGCGAAGUCAAAAAGGGGCGGGUGUUAGUGCGCCUGUGAGCCGCGCGCCUGUGUGCGCGUGACGGAGGAGUCAUGCGUCUGCAGCGACACCUGCGCCUUACGGUCUGCGCGGUGCGGUGGAGUUUCCCAGACAGCCGCGAGAUGGAGCAGCCUGCCCCUUCCUGAGCCGUUCCCGUCCCCCCACGCUGGCUUCGCGCGGUAGCUUUAUUGGCCGUGUCUCAGACGGCGCGAACAGCUGAUCGAUACUUUUGCCCAUCUCUGUCGCGGGCGGUACUUGUUCGUUGCGUACGAUAUAUGUGUUAUCUUUUUGUGUUGUGUUUCGCGGGAUGAGUUUAUACGGGGAUAUUUUUCUGUUAUUCCGCAUGUUAUUUGUUUUACGGAUGAGUAUGGCAUGCUCAUGUGUUAAUGUUUAUGUCCGCGUGUCUGCAGUACUUGCGGGUUCCCGUGACUGGCGGGCUCUAAGUCAGCCGCCAUACUCAGUCCUUUUCAUGGUGUACUCCGUCGAGAAUGGAGGCAUGGCGCCUGAGUGGACGAAAUCGUUGAAACCGCUAGAUGCAUCGUUGUUUACCGUGCCUACCUGCGCUAGUGCCAGUUUGAGUUGCCACGCUGCUUCAUAUGCUGCACCUACGCAUCAGUAUUCGCUAGUCGACCGCAUCGUGACGAAUACAAGCAACGCUCUGGCUACGGUGUUCUGCGCGUAACAACGCUCGUCAAUCUACGGCUCAGGCGACAAUAAGUGC
RNAcentral lists this unclassified non-coding RNA (7574 nucleotides) under Amphibalanus amphitrite. Its description in RNAcentral is "uncharacterized LOC122393306, transcript variant X1". Lineage: Eukaryota; Metazoa; Arthropoda; Thecostraca; Balanomorpha; Balanidae. The record is from RNAcentral.